Molecule: long non-coding RNA, 307 nt
Filed under: Phasianus colchicus (ring-necked pheasant)
Lineage: Eukaryota; Metazoa; Chordata; Aves; Galliformes; Phasianidae
Description: lncRNA (ENSPCLG00000012456.1)
Source: RNAcentral
CUUUAAAAUGCAUUAGUCAUUACCAUUGUAUUCCAGCUGAGUACAGGUUCCAUUUUCCUGGCACACCUCCUUCUUCAGAAGCAGAAGAACCACCAGGAUAUUUACAGCCAUGGAAGCAUUCCUUACAGAAGCAGAACACCACUAGAAAUCUGUUGGUCUGAGCCCUUCCAGCCAAAUGGCAAAAGCAAACCUGGUCACAUGAAAAGCAAACUACAAAAAAAGCAACAGUCAGAAGCAGGCUUUUGUUUGUUUUGAAGCUAAGCUGAGGCAAGAGGUGUUGCUUUGCCUGAAGUAGGACUUCAGCCAG